Molecule: long non-coding RNA, 565 nt
Organism: Drosophila albomicans
Lineage: Eukaryota; Metazoa; Arthropoda; Insecta; Diptera; Drosophilidae
Exons: 3
Source: RefSeq, a predicted model, not a curated record
UUAUUGGGUUUGUUUUGUAUAAUUUCGCGGUUUUGUUCGUUGUAAUAUGUUAGCCACAAAAGUCAGUUAAAUUCAAGAACUUAAAUGAAAACGUAACUUAUUUUGGCGGUACAGUCAGAUGUCAAAUGUUCUGUCUCCAUGAAAGCACACACUUACAAAGUAACUUUAGGCCACUUUAGCUUUAGGAAUCAGUUGUGUUAACCGAUUUCCGAAGCAAUUUUCUAUAUUAGAACCCAACUAGAAAGAAAUCUGCCUGUCAUAUGAUCUAGGUCUGUCAAACACAAAAAAAAACAAUGAAAAAAAUGUGAAUAAAACGAUUGUUUGACAUGCAGAUUUUAGGUGUUUUCUGUCUAGGUGAAUGUUUGUCAUCUGGAGAGAACAACACAAAAUAAACUAAAAUAGGAUAGUAACGUUUUACAAGCCGAAAGCAGGAACAAUACAAACAAAAAAAGAAAAAAUGGCGUGUAAAAUGUUACAUUAGGUAUGGUAGGGUAAUUAACAACUUGUAACGUUUUACGAGCUAAUAAGUAGUUUCCCAUCCCAAAAAAAUAUAUAUAUUACAAUA